GCCUGGGUGGCUCAGUCGGUUGAGCGUCUGACUUCAGCUCAGGUCAUGAUCUCACAGAUCAUGAGUUCAAGCCCCACAUCAGGCU
Felis catus (domestic cat) is the source of this 85-nucleotide transfer RNA. It matches the Rfam family "tRNA". From Rfam's summary of the family: Transfer RNA (tRNA) molecules are approximately 80 nucleotides in length. Their secondary structure includes four short double-helical elements and three loops (D, anti-codon, and T loops). Further hydrogen bonds mediate the characteristic L-shaped molecular structure. tRNAs have two regions of fundamental functional importance: the anti-codon, which is responsible for specific mRNA codon recognition, and the 3' end, to which the tRNAs corresponding amino acid is attached (by aminoacyl-tRNA synthetases). tRNAs cope with the degeneracy of the genetic code in two manners: having more than one tRNA (with a specific anti-codon) for a particular amino acid; and 'wobble' base-pairing, i.e. permitting non-standard base-pairing at the 3rd anti-codon position. NCBI's taxonomy places the organism in Eukaryota, Metazoa, Chordata, Mammalia, Carnivora, Felidae. The record is from Rfam.